AUGCUCAUUUCGGCAGCACAUGUACUGAAAUUGGAAUGAUACAGAGAAGAUUACCAUGGCCCCUGCACGAGGAUGACAAGCAAAUUCAUGAAGCUUUUCAUUUAAAA
RNAcentral lists this small nuclear RNA (107 nucleotides) under Salvator merianae (Argentine black and white tegu). Lineage: Eukaryota; Metazoa; Chordata; Lepidosauria; Squamata; Teiidae. The record is from RNAcentral.